CCUACGGGAGGCAGCAGUGGGGAAUAUUGCACAAUGGGGGGAACCCUGAUGCAGCGACGCCGCGUGAGUGAAGAAGUAUUUCGGUAUGUAAAGCUCUAUCAGCAGGGAAGAAAAGGACGGUACCUGACUAAGAAGCCCCGGCUAACUACGUGCCAGCAGCCGCGGGAAUACGUAGGGGGCAAGCGUUAUCCGGAUUUACUGGGCUUAAAGGGAGCGCAGACGGCUGUGCAGGUCUGGAGUGAAAGGCGGGGGCCCAACCCCCGGACUGCUCUGGAAACUGUAAAGCUGGAGUGCAGGAGAGGUAAGCGGAAUUCCUAGUGUAGCGGUGAAAUGCGUAGAUAUUAGGAGGAACACCAGUGGCGAAGGCGGCUUACUGGACUGCAACUGACGUUGAGGCUCGAAAGCGUGGGGAGCAAACAGGAUUAGAUACCCCGGUAGUC
RNAcentral lists this ribosomal RNA (440 nucleotides) under uncultured bacterium. RNAcentral describes it as "partial 16S ribosomal RNA". It matches the Rfam family "Bacterial small subunit ribosomal RNA", at positions 338 to 795 of the family's 1533-position model. The record is from RNAcentral.